CAUGCAUUCUCUGUAAAGCUGCUUUGAAACGAUAUGUAUUGUGAAAAGCGCUAUACAAAUAAAUGUGAAUUGAAUUGAAUAACUUAUUUAGAUUCCUUUUAAUCCUGUAUAUAUGUCAAAACUGUAUUUGUAAACUGAAUAUCACAAGUGGUAAACAGAGUAAAGCAAAAUCCAUCAGCUGCAUAAGUUUAAACUGUGUGUUAAUGAUGAAACAACGUCACAAUUGUUCGUUAAUGGGGAGCCCAGGUGAUGCAAAUCUGUGCCAAUGCUCAUUUUUAAAAUGCCUGGUUGCACUUUCAGACUGAAUGGUUGAACCUGUGGCCAAAAUGGUUUCUUUUAAACUCAUUAUUUUAUUGUAUCUGUAUCAUUCAUGUAGUGAAGUUUUCUGUUCCCCAAUCGAACGUGAUUUGCAUGUGUCUGACUGGAGUGAUGCUGGGAAUGUACUACAAGAAAACAAAGGACAUACUGAACAUGACAACUCAAACCAUUUUGAGAAGUCUAAUUCUGAAAUGGAGAAACCAAGUUUUAACUCAUCUGAGAAGUCCAGCUCUCACCCUGAGAAAUCUAGUGCUCCCAUGG
This is a long non-coding RNA of Megalobrama amblycephala (Wuchang bream), 579 nucleotides long. RefSeq lists it as uncharacterized. NCBI's taxonomy places the organism in Eukaryota, Metazoa, Chordata, Actinopteri, Cypriniformes, Xenocyprididae. The transcript is spliced from 3 exons. The record is from RefSeq and is a predicted model, not a curated record.